This 154-nucleotide ribosomal RNA is filed under the name uncultured Tricholoma. RNAcentral describes it as "5.8S ribosomal RNA". It matches the Rfam family "5.8S ribosomal RNA". Rfam says of the family: 5.8S ribosomal RNA (5.8S rRNA) is a component of the large subunit of the eukaryotic ribosome. Lineage: Eukaryota; Fungi; Basidiomycota; Agaricomycetes; Agaricales; Tricholomataceae. The record is from RNAcentral.
UUACUUUCAACACGGUCUCUUGGCUCUCGCUCGUGACGAACGCCGCGAAAUGCGAUAAGUAAUGUGAAUUGCAGAAUUCAGUGAAUCAUCGAAUCUUUGAACGCACCUUGCGCUCCUUGGUAUUCCGAGGAGCAUGCCUGUUUGAGUGUCAUGA